UACCCGCAGCUCAAGUGGUGGUCAUUAUUAUUGGGCUUAAAGCGUCCGUAGCUGGCUUGUUAGAUGCCUGGGUAAAUCGAUGCGCUUAACGCAUCGAAUUCCGGGUAGACCGGCAAGCUCGAGACCGGGAGAGGCGUGAGCUACUCAAGGGGUAGGGGUAAAAUCCUGUAAUCCUUUGGGGAGGACCAGUGGCGAAGGCGUCACGCUAGAACGGCUCUGACAGUGAGGGACGAAGCCCUGGGGCGCAAACGGG
This 253-nucleotide ribosomal RNA is filed under the name uncultured bacterium. Its description in RNAcentral is "partial 16S ribosomal RNA". It matches the Rfam family "Archaeal small subunit ribosomal RNA", at positions 474 to 727 of the family's 1478-position model. The record is from RNAcentral.